GACGAACGCUGGCGGCGUGCUUAACACAUGCAAGUCGAGCGGAAAGGCCCUUUCGGGGGUACUCGAGCGGCGAACGGGUGAGUAACACGUGAGUAAUCUGCCCCUGGCUUUGGGAUAGCCACCGGAAACGGUGAUUAAUACCGGAUACGACCACUUCUCGCAUGGGAUGGUGGUGGAAAGUUUUUCGGCCAGGGAUGUGCUCGCGGCCUAUCAGCUUGUUGGUGAGGUAAUGGCUCACCAAGACUAUGACGGGUAGCUGGAUCGAGAGGUCGACCAGCCAGACUGGGACUGAGACACGGCCCAGACUCCUACGGGAGGCAGCAGUGAGGAAUUUUCCGCAAUGGGCGAAAGCCUGACGGAGCGACACCGCGUGGAGGAUGAAGCUUUUCGGAGUGUAAACUUCUUUUAUAUGUGAAGAUUAUGACGGUAACAUAUGAAUAAGCACCGGCUAACUACGUGCCAGCAGCCGCGGUAA
Molecule: ribosomal RNA, 475 nt
Filed under: uncultured bacterium
Lineage: Bacteria
Description: partial 16S ribosomal RNA
Rfam family: Bacterial small subunit ribosomal RNA
Source: RNAcentral